Molecule: ribosomal RNA, 253 nt
Filed under: uncultured bacterium
Lineage: Bacteria
Description: partial 16S ribosomal RNA
Rfam family: Bacterial small subunit ribosomal RNA
Source: RNAcentral
UACGUAGGGGGCAAGCGUUGUCCGGAUUUAUUGGGCGUAAAGAGCGUGUAGGCGGCCAAGCAGGUCCGCUGUGAAAACUCGAGGCUCAACCUCGAGACGUCGGUGGAAACCGUUUGGCUAGAGUCCGGAAGAGGAGAGUGGAAUUCCCGGUGUAGCGGUGAAAUGCGCAGAUAUCGGGAAGAACACCAGUGGCGAAGGCGGCUCACUGGCCCGGAACUGACGCUGAGGUGCGAAAGCGUGGGGAGCAAACAGG